AGAGUUUGAUCAUGGCUCAGGAUGAACGCUAGCUACAGGCUUAACACAUGCAAGUCGAGGGGAAACGACAUCGAAAGCUUGCUUUUGAUGGGCGUCGACCGGCGCACGGGUGAGUAACGCGUAUCCAACCUGCCUUACACGUCUUGGACAGACCUUCUGAAAGGGAGAUUAAUACAAGAUGUUAUCAUGAGUAAGCAUUUUCGCAUGAUUAAAGGUUUACCGGUGUAAGAUGGGGAUGCGUUCCAUUAGAUAGUAGGCGGGGUAACGGCCCACCUAGUCUUCGAUGGAUAGGGGUUCUGAGAGGAAGGUCCCCCACAUUGGAACUGAGACACGGUCCAAACUCCUACGGGAGGCAGCA
RNAcentral lists this ribosomal RNA (358 nucleotides) under uncultured bacterium. Its description in RNAcentral is "bacterial SSU rRNA". It matches the Rfam family "Bacterial small subunit ribosomal RNA", at positions 8 to 353 of the family's 1533-position model. The record is from RNAcentral.